RNAcentral lists this long non-coding RNA (202 nucleotides) under Populus trichocarpa (black cottonwood). RNAcentral's name for it is "long non-coding RNA (PTRI_LNC002211)". Lineage: Eukaryota; Viridiplantae; Streptophyta; Magnoliopsida; Malpighiales; Salicaceae. The record is from RNAcentral.
AGGGUGGAUAUGACUUGGCUUCCUCCCUUCCUCGCCGGCGGUGACCUGUAACAAGAAAAAGAAAACGCAGGCAGUUGAUUUUAAUCUAUUAUGUCCAGAUUGUUGUAUUUUUUUUUCUUUUUAGAUCUGUUAACUUCUGUCUUCUUUCUUCUUCUCAGUUAGCUGUUCUUUCCUUCUUCUCCCGGUGGCAGGUCUGGCGGUU